This 1670-nucleotide long non-coding RNA is filed under the name Oryza sativa tropical japonica subgroup. RNAcentral's name for it is "lncRNA OsCMeo_01g0017740". The record is from RNAcentral. RNAcentral also lists the same sequence under 2 other names. Lineage: Eukaryota; Viridiplantae; Streptophyta; Magnoliopsida; Poales; Poaceae.
UAUAAAUUGAGGUGCCCAGGGGAGAAGCUGUGUACAAGGAAGUCUUUCUAUAAUUCUACCUUCGGUGCCUUGCGCCUCCUACAGCCCCACCGUGGGACUUCCACACAUAGACAGAAACACAUCCCCCAUCACCGCGCCGCCGACGUCGACGGCGGUGCCACGCUGCUGCCUCCUGCAUAUUACCCAAAGGCGCGUCAGAUGGACGCUGAUUCCGGUGAUUUUGGAAGUGGUAAUAAGCUACCAGAUGAUCUGACCUUGGAUGUCCUCUCUCGUCUUCCAUACAAGUCGUUCUGCCGGGCUAAAUGUACCUGCACAGGGUGGCUUUCUUUCUCCUCUAAUCCACAUUACUGCGACAAGCUUCCCAAACCCCUUACUGGUUUUCUCUACCAAAAAAGUGAUAGCUCUGCCAUUGAGGUUGCUAGCCUCUGCCCAGAUGAUAGAUCAUUUGAUACUUCUCUUAGUUUCUUGCCACGUUAUGAGUGGCUAGAACUAACGGAUUCUUGCAAUGGACUGGUUCUAUGCAAAUAUGGGCGCAAUACUUCUUCUCCAUCCGUUGCGAACUUUGUGGUGUGCAACCCAGCAACACGUCAGUGGAUGGAGUUACCUGAAACUCUUCUGGAACCAGAAGGUCACAGUUAUGCAACCAAAUUAGCUUUCGAUCCAUCAUGGUCCCCGUACUUCUAUGUCUUCAACUUUGAAGAGAAACGUAACCCAGUGGAAAGAUGGGCUUGUAUAUCUAAAGUUGCGAUAUUUUCAUCAAGAAAUUCCACGUGGUUUAUGGAUGAUAAGUGGGAACCUUCGAAUCAGAUUAGUGUCGAUUGUCAGCCACACGUCCUUCUUGGUGGAAAGCUGUUUCUUCAGACAUCAAGUUGUCGAGUCUUGGUAAUCGAUGCAUUUCACAAUACAGAGCAGCCAUCUCAUUGGAUAUUUGAUCUACCAGGGUAUAAGCCCACCUCCCCCAUGGUUGAUUGUCUCACUGGGUAUCUUGGACAUAAAUCAGGGGUGCUACACUAUGUGCAGCCCGACACCGGUGGUCGCACGCUUCUAGUCUGGGCUCGAGAUGGCUAUCCUCACGGUGACUGGAAUUUGAAGCACCGUCUCAGCAUGAGCGAUGCAUUUGGGCAGGAUAUCUUUCUUGAUGAGCAUUUUGAUGGAUUCUUGUCUUGUCAUUACGACAUUCAAUCUCUUGACUUGGAGAGAGGGCUUGUUUUCCUUUGUCAUUUCGCAGCAGAAAGACUCCUGUCCUAUAGCUUGAGCACAGGGAAGCUGACGAAAAUCCGAGAUGGUCUCAGGCGAUACCUGUACUAUGUGCCGAACUGCUCAAUGUUCCCAGCCAAAGAAACCGAGAAAGAUCAAGAUGUAUCAGAGCCAUAAUUACCAUCCCUUAUUUGAUGGAGCCCCGAACACCCUUAUGUAGUAGUUUGCAAUAAUACUAAAUAAUUUUGUUGGUGAAGUUUUAUAUGUAAUCUCAUAUAUGGUAUAUGAUAGUAGAACUAUGUGUGUGAAAGUCGUCUGUUGUGGACAGAUGCUAGCCUUGUUGGUUUCAGCGUUUCAUGAUGUAAUAAAAGUACCUCCUGUUCUAAGUGCUCCAUGUUAUUUUUGUCUCGUUAAAAUUUUUCAUCUGUUGUAUUUGAUACAUUUUUCCAGGUAGGGUGAAAUAAACAGCUGAA